Molecule: RNA transcript, 2641 nt
Organism: Diorhabda sublineata
Lineage: Eukaryota; Metazoa; Arthropoda; Insecta; Coleoptera; Chrysomelidae
Gene name: WD repeat-containing protein 91
Exons: 5
Source: RefSeq, a predicted model, not a curated record
UGUUUGCCAGUUUUUGUUGAUUUAGAUUAUUUGUAUGAGAAUACAUUCCAGUUAUCAGAGUAAAUUGAUACAAAAGGGAAAAAUAGUACAAAACAAAAGCUUACAAUGGCCCAUGCACAAUUUUUGGAUGAAAUGAUAAGGGAAUAUUUAUUGUAUAAAGGAUUUGGAUCGACAUUAAAAGCAUUUGAUGCAGAACUGAAAGCUGAUAAAAUGAAAAGUUUUAGAGUUGACAAAAUAGUUGAUCAACUAAUAUAUUUUAUAAACAAUUAUGAUCUUAUUUCACUUAGGGAUUUGUGGGGUCAUUUGAAUAGACAUUUGUUUUCUAAAUUGGAGAGUCAUUAUUUACCUAGUGUACGUAAGCUGGAAAAUGCGGUGUUGAAAAUGUACUUGAUAAAUACAGUAUUUAAUAGUAAACCCGAUAAAAUGAAUGAAUUUUUUGUCAAAAUGACUCCAGAACUACAAAACCAAGCAGAAUGGAAAGAUUGGUUUGUAUUACCAUAUAUAAAAAAUCCAGAAGAAAAUCCAACAUUUUCUUUACAUUUUACAAAACAAUGGCAAGAUACUCUUUGGGUUUCAGUUCAUAAUUUCUUGGCCACAAUAAUACAGUUCAUGCCAAUCCCCACGUUAAUGCAUUUUGAAGAUGAUGCUACUAGAAUAAGUAAAUUGGAAGAAAGAAACGAAUCUCUUAAAAAACGACUGAUAUUAUUACUUGAUAGAGGACCUCAAUCUAGUGUCACUCCAUGUCAAGUAGAGCCCCCUCAACACUUGUUAGACGACUUCUAUGUUAUAGCACAAGAAAAUAAUUUAGGUGAAAGUCAAGCUAGAAGCUUAAGAAGUAUUAUAAAGAAUAUGAGUAGCAGUGCAAGUCCAAUUUUAGGUAGAAAAGAAAGCGCAUUGGGAAAGAGACGAGAAAGGAAAUAAAAUUGUUUAACUUACCUUAUGAUUUUCCAGACAUGAUUAGUUCCAAAAAAAUUUUAUCCAUAUUUAUUUACCUUAGAUAUUAGAACUGUAAAGUCCGCAUUUUUCACACUUGAUUCAGGUGAAACCUCUGCACUUAGGAUAUUUGCAACUCAUUGGUGGACAGGCCAUAUGCCUGUUAUAUUCAGUUGUAGAUAUGGGAUUUCCCAGGAGAAUGUAUAAUAGAGCGGACCAUUUCACCAAUAUGGAUAAUUUUACCCUUUUUAUAAGGUUCAGACCUUAAAAGCCAACAUUUCGGAACAGAAUGAGGAUAGUCUUUUAUCGAUUUAACUUCUUCCUGAAGCCAUAGAUUAACUUUCUUAUUAUAUUUUAAUAUAUGUUGCUCUCGCUGUAAUAUCCUAUGUUCCUUGGUAUAGCUCAAAUUGACGUUGGUAAGGAAAUGACUUGUGAAUAAUGGGAUUUUAAAAAUUUUCAUUAUUUUUGAGGUCUAUUGUUCUUUGAUCAAAGUUCCCUUUUUUUUUAGGAUUGAUAAAGAAUAGAAAAGAAAGAUACCAUUAACUCAAUGAAAAGCGUUAAUAGUUAUUUUAAAUUAAUCACAGCAAUCCGAGUGAAAAAUGUUGUCAAAUAAAUUAUCUGUCAAAAUUGGGCAAAGAAUACGUACCAUUAAGCUCAAUAAUAAUCUUUGUUACCUAGUUUCUUUAAUAGCUUUGAAUGAAAAGUAGUCAAAUAAUGACAUUCAAAGCUACGAUAUUAGGCAAAGAAUAGAAAAGGAACAUACCAUUAAAUUCCAUAAAUAACUGAUAUUCUAUUUCAUUCACAGCUUCCGAAAUGACAGAAAUCAUCGUAGAAGUUAACUGAUGAAGUUGGACAAGGAGUAGAAACAUACUAUCAACUAAAUAAAAAGUGUUUAUAGCUAAUUGAAAUAAAUCACAACUUUCGAAAUGAAAAAUUUCGUCAAAUGAAUUAUCUGUCCAAUUUGGGCAACGCUUAGAAAAGAAGGUACCAUUAACUUCUAUAAUAAUCUUUGGCACCUAGUUUCUUUGAUAGCUUCGAAUGAAAAGUAGUCAAUUAAUGACAUUCAAAGCUAUGAAAGUUACGCAAAGAAUAAAAAAGAAACAUACCAUUAAACUUCAUAAAAAACUGUGAUAUUCUAUUUCCUUCACAGCUUCCGAAAAGACAAGUAGUCCUAUAAAUUUACUGUCAAAGUUUGACAAAGAAAAUAGUUCAAUUAAUGUUAUUUGAAUCGUAAAAGAUAAAAGUUAGAAAAACAUGCAAUAAGUCCCAUUUUUUUGAAUCUUCAUAACAAUGAAAAGAAAAUUAAGAAAUGAAACUUCUUAAGAGAUGAUAUUUUUUGAAAUGGUAUGUUAAGAGCAAUAAUACGUUCCGGGUUAAUGAACUUUUCUCUAAACAUGUAUCAUUGAAAUAAAUAAAAUUCUGGAUACUUCGACAGUUUUUGUCAAAGUUGAGCAUAUUGAACACAUUUACUACCACCACUAUUCAGAGUCUGAAGAGGAUAAUUUGGUAAUCCAAACGCUCGACAUUGUUUUUGGGAAUGUUAACGGGAAAUUUAAUUUUCGUUGCGCAUACGAAUCGAAAAAUGAGUUUUUAACAAAAUAUUUUAAAAACAAUUUUAUUUUUGAAAUAAACUAAAUAAUGGAAAAACAAUAAUAUUUGUCAAUCAAAUUGAUAAACUGAAUCCUAAAUCUACCAUACAAAAAAAAAA